GCAGGAAGAGAUGCCCACCAAAGCCGUGGUUUCUAAAUCUGGAGGAAAGAAGUCUGUGUUUGACAAAGAGCUGACGAACACCAGCACCAAGGCCCUGAAGCACUACAGAGCCGGGCCGUCCUUCGAAGACAGGAAGCGUCUCGGUAUCGACAGAAAGCGUCCUGGUGGCUCCAGGUUCAAGAAGAAGAAGUGAACCAAGAUGGCCGCCGUGAAGCCGUUUUCUCCUCCGUGACUCGUCCACUUCGUCUCCGUGUAAAUCUCUUCCAGUUUUGUUCAUUUAACAAGUUUUAAAUAAAGUAUCGAUCUGUAUUCAAUAAAACGCGUCCGUAGUUGCUUCUACAGGCGAACAUGUCAGUACAGUGGGCCUUAAAUCAUAGAAAUGUAAAGGAAUCAUAGUAUUUUGUGAACAUUAAAAAAAUGGUGUGGUGUAUUGUAAAGAAUCGCUUGUAAGAGAAUGUCGGAAAAAGUUAAAAUAAAACGCAAGAUGUC
This is a long non-coding RNA of Pseudoliparis swirei, 489 nucleotides long. RefSeq lists it as uncharacterized. The record is from RefSeq and is a predicted model, not a curated record. NCBI's taxonomy places the organism in Eukaryota, Metazoa, Chordata, Actinopteri, Perciformes, Liparidae. The transcript has 4 exons.